GACGAACGCUGGCGGCGUGCUUAACACAUGCAAGUCGAACGGAAAGGCCCUGCUUUUGUGGGGUGCUCGAGUGGCGAACGGGUGAGUAAAACGUGAGUAACCUGCCCUUGACUUUGGGAUAACUUCAGGAAAAUGGGGCUAAUACCGGAUAGGAGCUCCUGCAGCAUGGUGGGGGUUGGAAAGUUUCGGCGGUUGGGGAUGGACUCGCGGCUUAUCAGCUUGUUGGUGGGGUAGUGGCUUACCAAGGCUUUGACGGGUAGCCGGCCUGAGAGGGUGACCGGCCACAUUGGGACUGAGAUACGGCCCAGACUCCUACGGGAGGCAGCAGUGGGGAAUAUUGCACAAUGGGCGGAAGCCUGAUGCAGCAACGCCGCGUGCGGGAUGACGGCCUUCGGGUUGUAAACCGCUUUCGCCUGUGACGAAGCGUGAGUGACGGUAAUGGGUAAAGAAGCACCGGCUAACUACGUG
This 468-nucleotide ribosomal RNA is filed under the name uncultured bacterium. RNAcentral describes it as "partial 16S ribosomal RNA". It matches the Rfam family "Bacterial small subunit ribosomal RNA", at positions 28 to 507 of the family's 1533-position model. The record is from RNAcentral.